AUGAACGCUGACAGAAUGCUUCACACAUGCAAGUCAACUUGAACUUCGGUUUGGGUGGCGGACGGGUGAGUAACGCGUAAAGAACUUGCCUCACAGAUAGGGACAACAUUUGGAAACGAAUGCUAAUACCUGAUAUUAUGAUUUUAGGGCAUCCUAGGAUUAUGAAAGCUAUAUGCGCUGUGAGAGAGCUUUGCGUCCCAUUAGCUAGUUGGAGAGGUAACGGCUCACCAAGGCGAUGAUGGGUAGCCGGCCUGAGAGGGUGAUCGGCCACAAGGGGACUGAGACACGGCCCUUACUCCUACGGGAGGCAGCAGUGGGGAAUAUUGGACAAUGGACCAAGAGUCUGAUCCAGCAAUUCUGUGUGCACGAUGAAGUUUUUCGGAAUGUAAAGUGCUUUCAGUUGGGAAGAAAAAAAUGACGGUACCAACAGAAGAAGUGACGGCUAAAUACGUG
RNAcentral lists this ribosomal RNA (453 nucleotides) under uncultured bacterium. RNAcentral describes it as "partial 16S ribosomal RNA". It matches the Rfam family "Bacterial small subunit ribosomal RNA", at positions 29 to 507 of the family's 1533-position model. The record is from RNAcentral.